GCAUCGCGCUGGCGCAGGUUCUCGUGCGAGAUGCGCUGCGAGCGUGUCAGCAGCGAAUAGGCGAACUGCUCCGGUUCGAGCCUGGCGUGGCGCUC
RNAcentral lists this transfer RNA (95 nucleotides) under Burkholderiaceae bacterium. RNAcentral describes it as "tRNA-Arg". The record is from RNAcentral. Lineage: Bacteria; Pseudomonadati; Pseudomonadota; Betaproteobacteria; Burkholderiales; Burkholderiaceae.